Molecule: long non-coding RNA, 1395 nt
Filed under: Homo sapiens (human)
Lineage: Eukaryota; Metazoa; Chordata; Mammalia; Primates; Hominidae
Description: non-protein coding lnc-CPEB2-11:1
Source: RNAcentral
GCCGGGGUUGAGAAUUCGGUCUUCUCGGGAACUCCGUUACCACUAUGCUUAAAUGCUGGGUCUGAGCCCUAGUUUUUUUCUGUCCUCUAGCUAUAGAAGUAGGAGAGUCUCCUUACAUGCUGCCAGGGAGGCCUUUUGUCUUUGGUACUCUGUCUUACAUUUGUGAUUGAUCAUCUUAGCCUUUCAUUAAACCCAUCUCUGACUACCAAACUUGUGGUCUUAUCCAUGGUCCAUGUGUUUGUAGCAGCUACCUAGAGCAGAGGGAAAUAUGUUUUCUGAAUAGAAGAAAGGGACUGGCUUGAGCGUUGGAUAGAUCCAGGGACUGGACACAGAAGAUGUUCAAUCCUCUGUUAGUAGAGAGUCAUAGUCAAAAUGGAUUGUGUUUCCAAUCUUUGGUGAGUGGGUUGUGUAGGUUGUAGAAUGUAUUUUUGCAUACAAACAAUGUUCAAUAUGGAAGCUAGGUUCCUAGACAAGCUACUUAAUCAUAAUGUACCCAAGAUAAAGAGUAUUAUUUCAUCUUAAUAAAUAAGACUGUAUGCUUAUUAUAAUACUAUGUUAAUAUAAUUGGAAAGAGAGAAGUGUCUCCUUUUCCUUGUAGCUAUUUUGACUCAAAAAUUAGACAAUUCCAGCAGUGUUUCUCCCCUCUUAAAGAAGGGUCCAUGUCAAAGAAUUGAAAGUGAUUCUUGUAUACAGCCUAAUCACUUAGUUCCCUCUGGAAAUAGAAUGUGGGAGAAAAUAAAGGAUAGUUGUUCCAGAAGCCCAUUUUGGCUGUGGGUCCAAAAAGCAUCUAUGAUCCAGCUUUAUCAGUAAAAAAAAGCAGGCACUGGAUUUUACCCUCUGUCUUGUUGCUUGGUCUAGUUCCGAAAUGAAUCCAAAUCUUUAGAGGAGGAUAUUUACUCCACAUAUUCUCCUCUAAAGAUUUGGAUUCAUUUGGGAACUAGAAUCUUGUGUUAAAGUAUCAGCUAUCAGUUGGUAUUUUGACAGAGUCAAACCCCCAAAAUAUAUAGCACUAGACCAAGAUGCAGUCUGGUGGCACACUUCAUGGAUGCAAGUGAAGACAGGUUUUUCCACCCAAAUCCUCCAACUUCCCUACUGUCUAAGAGUUUCUCCCUGAUGUUGACAUUGUUCUCUCCCUCUGCUUCUCUUCCACAUCCUUUUUCCUGCCACGAAUGUCACGUUCUUGAAGGGGGUAUAUGUUGUAACUUAAAGACCCCUGGAGAAAACUUCCUAUGUGUCACCAUUCUGCCUGUCUCCUAUACACCUGUUUGUUCUUUGAUGGGUGGCAGCAUGGUUUGCAAGAAAGCUAUAACUCUGGGCUUAUAGCUUUUAAACUUGGGUUUAAACUUGGGUUGACCACCUACAGGUUCUGGAGACUUGAUAAACUUAAUUAGCUAC